CAAAACGUAGCUUAAUUCUCAAAGCAUCUUGCUUACACCAAGAGAAUAUCUGUUCAACCCAGAUCGUUUUGA
RNAcentral lists this transfer RNA (72 nucleotides) under Ololygon sp. KAV7. RNAcentral's name for it is "tRNA-Val". It matches the Rfam family "tRNA". Rfam says of the family: Transfer RNA (tRNA) molecules are approximately 80 nucleotides in length. Their secondary structure includes four short double-helical elements and three loops (D, anti-codon, and T loops). Lineage: Eukaryota; Metazoa; Chordata; Amphibia; Anura; Hylidae. The record is from RNAcentral.